Molecule: RNA transcript, 1748 nt
Organism: Cuculus canorus (common cuckoo)
Lineage: Eukaryota; Metazoa; Chordata; Aves; Cuculiformes; Cuculidae
Gene name: fas-binding factor 1 homolog
Exons: 7
Source: RefSeq, a predicted model, not a curated record
GCCUCUCCCGUGGUGCCCGUCACAGGGAGCACCACUUUGUGACGGCCCCUGGUGGGCUCCUUCCCCAUGUCCCACAGGGUUUCUGUCCAAGAGAUGCACAAAGACCAUGAAGAGCAGCUCCAGCGGCUGAAGCAGCUGAAAGAUCAGGAGAUCGACACAGUGACUAGUGCUGCUUCGCACGCCAGGUCUCUGAAUGGCGUCACUGAGCAGAUGGAGAAGUUCUCCAUUGACGUGCACAACCUUUUGCACAAGGUGGAGGCCAUGCACCACAGUACCUCCCAGGAGCUGGCCCUGGGGGCACAGCAUCGCGACCAGCAGCUCAAGGUGCUCCAGGACUGGAUGUCACAGCAGCAGAGGGACAUGGAGGAGGAGCGGAGCCGGCUGCAGGAGGUGAUUGCCAGAAUGGAGACCAGGCUGGUUGGCAAACAUGAAUUAAUUGGGCAUAAAAGUUGCAGUGAAGAUCCUCAGUCGACAGAAGAUUCACAGCCUUGAUGUUGUAGGAAAAAUCCUCAGGGCGAUUCAGAGCCUGAAACUCUUCAGGCGCCCUCAUAUAAUGAAACUGUACCAGGUCAUCAGUACUCUAACUGACAUUUUCAUGGUGGUGGAAUACGUUUCAGGAGGAGAACUGCUUGAUUAUAUAUGUAAAAAUGGAAGGGUAAGAAGUAGUCAAACUCUACAAAUUAAUGACUUGCAUUCUGUUAUUGCUUUUGUAAUGUUCCUGUGACACUUGAAACUGAGGGACAGACGGGUUCUUUUGGGGGAUCCUUAGCAGAAUUAUAUAAAUAAAGCCUUAUUUUUUUUUUUUAACAGGGUAUCAUGGUUAGUAUAGCACGGAAUUUCUGCAAACAGAAUCAAUGCAGUAUAAUUUACAAGUAGCAUAAUACAGAAUUUAUAAUAAAACUUAACAUUUGAUUUCUAAUCGCCUGGACCAUCUGCAGAUUGUGUCACAUCUUAAUACAUGGUUUACUAUAUCAAUAUAACAAUCGCAGUCUGGACUUAAUCCUGUGAAACAAUGAGUCACUCACUCGAUCCUGGAGGAAGGAGACAAUGGUGGUGACGUCCCUGGCCUUGGGAGGUUUCGGGUCUGGCUGUCUAGCAGCAAUCCUGGUCCAGGUUCCCCACUUCAGACUUGAUUUUAUGGCCAGUGCUCUCUGUGCUGUUACAUUUCCCUGUUCUGUGACGGGGUCAUCACCACCACCUGGUUGGCUGUGUACCUGGGGCCUUCGAGGCUGCUGAGGAAGGGGGUAAUGAGUCUGGCACGCAGGAACCUUGAGGCUGGUUGGGAAGGGAAAAAGAAAUCUGUUUGGUUGGUUUACUUGGUUCGCAGGACCUUCACAGCCUGAUAACGUGGGAAAGGGAAGAAAUACAUGCCUCAGUCACAGAAUGACCGUUUGCCUCCUAAAAUGGUAUGAGCUGUGCUGACCACAUUACCAGGCACCAGGAGCAGGCGCUUGAUUGGAAUGCAGGUAGACGUGUGUUCCAGCAAAUCCUUUCUGGCAUGGCUUGCUGUCGCAGGCAUACGGUGGUAUGCAGAGAUCCGAAGGCUGAAAAUGUGCUGCUUGAUGCACACAUGAAUGCCAAGAGAGCUGACUUUGCUGUUUCUGACAGAGUGGCUGAGAAGACUGGCAGCUAGAUUUUGGAGCUGUCUGAAUUGGGAAUCCUCACCAAUAAACAUAGUAAGGGAUCUGUACUGCUACGAUAUCACGAUAUACCUCGUGUAGACGUAGUGGAUAAUACCUGACCUUGUA